Molecule: long non-coding RNA, 1356 nt
Organism: Ictalurus furcatus (blue catfish)
Lineage: Eukaryota; Metazoa; Chordata; Actinopteri; Siluriformes; Ictaluridae
Exons: 2
Source: RefSeq, a predicted model, not a curated record
UUGCAGGCCUGUGUUGAGGUCCUUUGUUUAACUAAGCAAAGAGGUUCUCCUCCAACACUCACAACCCUAUAUAACCCCCCCCGCACAAUCCAACCCCCCUCAACACCCACCCCAAAGACACACACAUGUAUAACUCCUCUACUUAGAUAUUGCUAUACCUACAAAAGGCUACAUCCACAUAAAUCUGGAUAAACAAAUCUUUUACUCUACGUUUUGGCUUUCCAUCCACAUUCAUGUCCACUUUAAUCCGGAUAGAUCUGAAAUUUUAUUUUCGUUUUUUAAAUGUUCUCCAUCUACACUGGCAUUUUCAAACGUUUUCCAAAAAUUGCUCGUUCACACUGAAACGUCUGAAAAUGCUCGCAUCCCUAAACUGCACACGUGUAAAAACGUAAGAAGCUUAUUUCCGUCACGUGUUUAUUUAAAAGUGACAUUAAUCUUUAACAAAGCUAUCAGACUGGAAAGCAGGCACAACAACUGCAGUUCAACAUCGUCCACCAGCUUGUUUGUUUUGAGUUGAAUGGGUCACAUGACUGUGUCACGUGACUAAAAAUACCUCAUUGGUUUUGAGUCUCUCUGUUUUCUCAGUCCACAGUACAAUGCGAAAACAGCAUUUUCAGAUUUAUCUGCUCGGGAGAGCAUUUUCGAAAAGCUCUGUUAGUCAUGUGAUGCAGUCAUGUGACCCAAUCAACUCGAAACAAACAAGCUGGUGGACGAUGUUGUACUGUGUCACAGAUAGAGUAGAAGUGGAUGCAAUUGCAGUUACAAGAUGCUGUUUAUUAGAAAAAAAACAUGCAGAUAAUCCAAAGGGUAAUGCAGAAUCGAUAACAAAAAAACAGGCAAAGGGUCAGGUGAUGAACAAACAGAAUGAACUGGGCAAGGCACAAACUCACAAAAAUGCUGCACAGAAAAAGGGUCUAAAACGGUAGAAUCAAUCACGAUAUAGAAGGCUUGGUAAUGACAGAACACAAGCCCCACAUGAAUUUAUGGAGAUACUAGAGAUCCAGAUCCUUUCUGCCUCUGGAUGGAGCUCAAAUCUUCUCCAAUUCCAGACUGCUGGGACUACGGCUGCUCCUAAGGCCAUACAGACUUCAUAUAAAUCCAUAAUGAACUUUUUCACACUAUCUGUUGUUACCCAGAUGAGGAUGGGUUCCCUUCUGAGUCGGGUUCCUCUCAAGGUUUCUUCCUCUUAAAACAUCUUAGGGAGUUUUUCCUUGCCACCGUCGCCACUCAGUGGCUUGCUCAGUUGGGAUAAAUUCGCACCUUUAAUAUCUGUAUACCAUGUUGAUAUUUCUGUAAAGCUGCUUUGAGACAAUGUCUAUUGUAAAAAGCGCUAUACAAAAAUAAAAUUGAAUUGAA